Mauremys mutica (yellowpond turtle) is the source of this 653-nucleotide long non-coding RNA. RefSeq lists it as uncharacterized. The transcript has 3 exons. The record is from RefSeq and is a predicted model, not a curated record. Lineage: Eukaryota; Metazoa; Chordata; Testudines; Geoemydidae.
UGCAAGUGGGGGUUUUCCUAGUAACGGCGUCCCUCACCCGCUUACUGUCAGUGCAAUCGAUUGACGCGUGACUAUUGCUCAGAGAGAGCCAUCGUGACACACUCUUAAAGGCACAGGCUGAUAGAGCCAUUGCAGGACGUGAUUCCUGUAUGCCACCGAUUAGCUGCGUGCUUGUCUGUCCCUGCUGCCCCCUUCGCUCUCCUGCCUCCUAAUCCUUCCUCUGCCUCUGCUACCCAGCUUCUAGCGCCUGACUUACUAAAGAACUCAUACAGAGAUAAACAGGCCACCCUUUAGCCUGUCUCACAGUUUCAGUGUGAAUCCUUCUGUGAAAGAGGACUUGGACAGUCUAAUCUACACUUUGCAAUGCGACGAUGAUCAUCUCCUCCACAUUGCCACUUCAGAACAUAGAAACCAGCCAUCGGGGGACAGCUUAAAGGACCUCUGCAAUAGUGUUGCAGCACUGACAAGAGUUGUAGGGGGCUUCUAGUGCUGCCAAGGGGCCUGAGAUACCUGGAUGUCAAGUGUGAGGGAGCCUGCAAUCCUGGCCCAGUGGAGCAGUGAACCCCAACCAGGAAGGAGGACAAGACCCUGGCCAUAGGGGAGACCACCUUGCUGUUGAAUGGCUCUUACCAGGGAUAGCCCCAGUACUCCUG